GAUGAACGCUGGCGGCGUGCCUAAUACAUGCAAGUCGAGCGAACAGACGAGGAGCUUGCUCCUCUGACGUUAGCGGCGGACGGGUGAGUAACACGUGGAUAACCUACCUAUAAGACUGGGAUAACUUCGGGAAACCGGAGCUAAUACCGGAUAAUAUAUUGAACCGCAUGGUUCAAUAGUGAAAGACGGUUUUGCUGUCACUUAUAGAUGGAUCCGCGCCGCAUUAGCUAGUUGGUAAGGUAACGGCUUACCAAGGCAACGAUGCGUAGCCGACCUGGAAGGCUGAUCGGCCACACUGGAACUGAGACACGGUCCAGACUCCUACGGGAGGCAGCAGUAGGGAAUCUUCCGCAAUGGGCGAAAGCCUGACGGAGCAACGCCGCGUGAGUGAUGAAGGUCUUCGGAUCGUAAAACUCUGUUAUUAGGGAAGAACAAAUGUGUAAGUAACUAUGCACGUCUUGACGGUACCUAAUCAGAAAGCCACGGCUAACUACGUG
RNAcentral lists this ribosomal RNA (497 nucleotides) under uncultured bacterium. Its description in RNAcentral is "partial 16S ribosomal RNA". It matches the Rfam family "Bacterial small subunit ribosomal RNA", at positions 28 to 507 of the family's 1533-position model. The record is from RNAcentral.